RNAcentral lists this unclassified non-coding RNA (329 nucleotides) under soil metagenome. RNAcentral's name for it is "partial contains 5.8S ribosomal RNA, internal transcribed spacer 2, and large subunit ribosomal RNA". The stretch from base 1 to 120 matches the Rfam family "5.8S ribosomal RNA", at positions 35 to 154 of the family's 154-position model. The record is from RNAcentral.
GAUGAAGAACGUAGCGAAAUGCGAUAAGUAGUGUGAAUUGCAGAAUUCAGUGAAUCAUCGAAUCUUUGAACGCACAUUGCGCCCCUUGGUAUCCCGAGGGGCAUGCCUGUUCGAGCGUCAUUUCACCACUCAAGCCUGGCUUGGUGUUGGGCGACGUCCUCUUUGGGGACGCGUCUCGAAACGCUCGGCGGCGUGGCACCGGCUUUAAGCGUAGCAGAAUCUUUCGCUUUGGAAGUCGGGGCCCCGUCUGCCGGAAGACCUGCUCGCAAGGUUGACCUCGGAUCAGGCAGGGAUACCCGCUGAACUUAAGCAUAUCAAUAAGCGGAGGA